UUUAUCGAAUACAUUUUUCUCGGUUUAUUUUUUUUUUUGCCUUCGUAUACAAUUAUCUCCAAGUAUCUUUUUCGAUAAGAACAAUUCAUAAAAAAAAGUAUUUCAUUUCUUUUAUAAAAAAGAUUAGUUUGAUGUUUUUUAUUAUUUAUCCGACGAAUUUAAUAAAGAUGCACGAUACGCGGGCGUGGAAUCUUUGCAAGAUUAACUUUCAUUCAAGAUAAUGAUAUAAUAUCAGCGAGAUGACUGAGCGAUAAAUAACGUAAACGAUGACUGAGCGAUAAACAACGUUGGCGAUGACUGCAAGAGAUAAAAGCACUUAAAGAAAACGGGGACUUUUUAAUAACUAUACUUUUUUUUUCUUCAGCUUUGCACUUAUUCGACGUACGGAGACGAAAAUAAAAAUGUCUCUCAUAAAUUAUCUUUUUUUUCGUUGAUGCAGAUUUUUAAAGAACAACCGAAACUAAAAAGACAGAAAGGAAAA
RNAcentral lists this long non-coding RNA (481 nucleotides) under Polistes fuscatus (common paper wasp). RNAcentral's name for it is "uncharacterized LOC122526501". The record is from RNAcentral. Lineage: Eukaryota; Metazoa; Arthropoda; Insecta; Hymenoptera; Vespidae.